UCGCCCUGUUUUACAAAAACAUGUCCUUUUGAUAAUAAUUUAAGGUCUAGCCUGCCCACUGAAAAUUUAAAUGGCCGCGGUAUUUUGACCGUGCAAAGGUAGCAUAAUCAUUAGUUUUUUAAUUGAAAGCUGGUAUGAAGGGUUGAAUGAGAAAAAAUCUGUCUCUAUUAAAUUUUUAUUAAAAUUUUAUUUUUAAGUUAAAAAGCUUAAAUUUUAUUAAAAGACGAGAAGACCCUAUAGAGUUUUAUAAAAAUUUUAUUAUUAAGUUUUUAGAAUUUUAAUUUUAAUUUUAAUUUUUUAUUUAAUUGGGGUGAUUAAAAAAUUUAAAGAACUUUUUUUCAAAAAAAACAUUUUUAAAUGAUUAUUUGAUCCAUAAAUUAUGAUUACAAGAUAAAAUUACCUUAGGGAUAACAGCGUAAUUUUUUUUAAGAGUUCUAAUCGAAAAAAAAGAUUGCGACCUCGAUGUUGGAUUAAAAUUUAAUUUUGGUGUAGAAGCUAAAAUUUAGGUCUGUCGACCUUUAAU
RNAcentral lists this ribosomal RNA (523 nucleotides) under Pidonia similis. RNAcentral's name for it is "partial 16S ribosomal RNA". It matches the Rfam family "Bacterial large subunit ribosomal RNA", at positions 1795 to 2592 of the family's 2925-position model. The record is from RNAcentral. Lineage: Eukaryota; Metazoa; Arthropoda; Insecta; Coleoptera; Cerambycidae.